Molecule: ribosomal RNA, 256 nt
Filed under: uncultured bacterium
Lineage: Bacteria
Description: partial 16S ribosomal RNA
Rfam family: Bacterial small subunit ribosomal RNA
Source: RNAcentral
UAAUACGGGGGGGGCAAGCGUUGUUCGGAAUUACUGGGCGUAAAGGGUUCGUAGGUGGCUUGCUAAGUCAUACGUGAAAUCCCUCAGCUUAACUGGGGAACUGCGUCUGAGACUGGCGAGCUUGAGUGCAGGAGAGGAACGCGGAAUUCCAGGUGUAGCGGUGAAAUGCGUAGAUAUCUGGAGGAACACCGGUGGCGAAGGCGGCGUUCUGGACUGUUACUGACACUGAGGAACGAAAGCCAGGGGAGCAAACGGG